Molecule: long non-coding RNA, 1088 nt
Organism: Gigantopelta aegis
Lineage: Eukaryota; Metazoa; Mollusca; Gastropoda; Neomphalida; Peltospiridae
Exons: 5
Source: RefSeq, a predicted model, not a curated record
GUUAAUGUAUUGCACGUUAAUGUAUUGCACGUGCAUCAACCAUUUUAUUCGUCGAAGCAGAAGUACAUUUGCACGUGCAUGUUCGACAUAAAUAACGAGACGUUUGUAUUGAUUAGAAUGGAUUGCCAAGCCCGAAUGUCUGCUGCAAUAAAGAUCAACUCGCAUGCAUUCACUUGAUACAUCUUGAUCUCCUGAUGGUUCACUUCUUUGGAAUUCACUUCUACAUUUUUUGUCUUCAACACCAUCCUGUACCGUUGGCCAGCUACCGGCAUGCUGUUGAUGAAAAAUCAUGGAUGCCAGUUGGGUGCACUGAUUAUUAGAAGAAAAGAUUGGAUAUCCACCUUCCACCAGCUUUUUUAUUGCAGGAUCGGCAGUCCAAGCAGCUCACCACUGAUGGAAUUACUGGGAGAUGUGUGGAUGGCGAAGCUGGUCUAGUAUCAGUAAGUCCGGCCCUUUAACUAUAGCUUCCUCUGCAAGUCUGUACUUCACCACCACUAGUCGAUACUAGCUGCAGCGCUGUGCUGUAUCAAUCCUGCACACAGUUUCUACUCCAGGGGAAUACGGUAAAUAAUGCAAUCUUAUUGGCUGCGCUGGAUACAAUAGGAAUAUUUGAUUGGAUAAAAACAAAGAAGGAUGUGGCUUGAAUUUUGUGAAUAAUGGGAAGAUGGAGAAGUUUGCUUGCAUCACCUUUGCUGACAUUUAUUCUCUGGUGGCAUCGGUCCACCUGUUUUAUUCACAUCGUUUGUGUCAAGAAAAAUUAAACGCUGGUAUUAAUUGAAAGUUUGUGUCGAAGAUAUUGCAUUGUUUGAUUCCAUUGAACACAGUCGAUAUUGAACUGACUGAAAGAAGUUUCACACUAAGAUUCGCUAAGUUCUAAAAGGUAAGAAUUAAUAUUUUAUAAAAUUGUAUUUCGACUUUUAGUUGUGAAGUAUUUCUUUUUACGGACUUUAAAUGGGUUUUGUUGUUUGAUCAUAUAUUCAGAUUGAAGAAUCAUCAGACAUGUCAGAUAUUAUUGACCUACCUACUCAUAAGGUACACUUGAUCACAACUUUUUAAAAUUUAAUUAAUGAAUAUUUUGAAAUUGCAGA